AACCAACAGGGAUUGCCCUAGUAACGGCGAGUGAAGCGGCAACAGCUCAAAUUUGAAAUCUGGCCUCGGCCCGAGUUGUAAUUUGCAGAGGAUGCUUCUGGCGCGGUGCCUUCCGAGUUCCCUGGAACGGGACGCCACAGAGGGUGAGAGCCCCGUAUGGUCGGACACCAAGCCUGUGUGAAGCUCCUUCGACGAGUCGAGUAGUUUGGGAAUGCUGCUCUAAAUGGGAGGUAAAUCUCUUCUAAAGCUAAAUACCGGCCAGAGACCGAUAGCGCACAAGUAGAGUGAUCGAAAGAUGAAAAGCACCUUGAAAAGGGGGUUAAAUAGUACGUGAAAUUGUUGAAAGGGAAGCACUUAUGACCAGACUUGGGCCGGGCGGCUCAUCAGGGGUUCUCCCCUGUGCACUCCGCCCGGCACAGGCCAGCAUCGGUUCUCGUGGGGGGAUAAGACCGUCAGGAACGUAGCACCCUCCGGGGUGUGUUAUAGCCUGGCGGACGAUACCCCCGUGGGGACCGAGGUCCGCGCUCCGCAAGGAUGCUGGCGUAAUGGUCAUCAGUGAC
This 560-nucleotide ribosomal RNA is filed under the name Phomopsis sp. OTU4 TS-2013. RNAcentral describes it as "eukaryotic LSU rRNA". It matches the Rfam family "Eukaryotic large subunit ribosomal RNA", at positions 63 to 648 of the family's 3401-position model. The record is from RNAcentral. Lineage: Eukaryota; Fungi; Ascomycota; Sordariomycetes; Diaporthales; Diaporthaceae.